Molecule: long non-coding RNA, 610 nt
Organism: Oncorhynchus tshawytscha (Chinook salmon)
Lineage: Eukaryota; Metazoa; Chordata; Actinopteri; Salmoniformes; Salmonidae
Source: Ensembl
CAAUUGCACAACAAUCAGUAUCCAUCGUGAUAUUUUAAACAGUCCAUAAAGCACUCAGGACGGCCCCCACGGAAAGAGGGCCGUAGUAGGGUGCUUCCAUAGCGGGCAUUGAUAUCAGAAUGACCGGUAAAUGCAUUUUGGAGCAUAUUUAAAUUUUUGGGUUCCCAGGUGCACGUUUUCAAUCACCAGGUGCACGGAUGUAUAGGGUCCCCCAUGGAUAAAAGGUCCGUAUUAGGGUGCUCCCAUAGCGGGCAUGACUUUUUGGAACACCGCUCAUGUAAUUUUAGGUUCCCAGUUGCACGUUUUCAAUCACCAGUUGCACAACAAUCAGUAUCCAUCGUGAUAUUUUAAACAGUCCAUAAAGCACUAAAUGAGGGCCCCCACAGAAAGAGGGCCGUAGUAGGGUGCUUCCAUAGCGGGCAUUAAAAUGAGAAUGACCCUUAAAUGCAUUUUGGAGCCUAUUUUAAUUUUUUGGGUUCCCAGGUGCACAUUUCAGAUCACCAGUUGCACAACAAUGAGUAUCCAUCAGAACAUGUUAAAGUGUCCAUAAAUCCCUCAGGACGGCCCCUAUGGAAAGAGGGCCGUAGUAGGGUACUCCUAUAACAGGGCA